Molecule: ribosomal RNA, 492 nt
Filed under: uncultured bacterium
Lineage: Bacteria
Description: partial 16S ribosomal RNA
Rfam family: Bacterial small subunit ribosomal RNA
Source: RNAcentral
GACGAACGCUGGCGGCGUGCUUAACACAUGCAAGUCGAACGGAAAGGCCUGCUUUCCCUUGUGGAUUGCGGGUACUCGAGUGGCGAACGGGUGAGUAACACGUGAGUGAUCUGCCCCCAACUUGGGUAUAAGCCUGGGAAACUGUCUAAUUCCCGAUAGGACUGCAGGGUGGUGCCUGUGGUGGAAAACGAUUUUCUAGUGGUUGGGGAUGAGCUCGCGGCCUAUCAGCUUGUUGGUGGGGUAAUGGCCUACCAAGGCGGCGACGGGUAGCCGGCCUGAGAGGGUGGACGGCCACAUUGGGACUGAGAUACGGCCCAGACUCCUACUGGAGGCAGCAGUGGGGAAUAUUGCACAAUGGGCGGAAGCCUGAUGCAGCGACGCCGCGUGGGGGAUGACGGCCUUCGGGUUGUAAACUCCUUUCGACCGCGAGGAAGCCACCUGGUUGGAAGGGUGGUGACGGUAGUGGUAGAAGAAGCACCGGCUAACUACGUG